This 484-nucleotide ribosomal RNA is filed under the name uncultured bacterium. RNAcentral describes it as "partial 16S ribosomal RNA". It matches the Rfam family "Bacterial small subunit ribosomal RNA", at positions 30 to 507 of the family's 1533-position model. The record is from RNAcentral.
AUUGAACGCUGGCGGCAGGCCUAACACAUGCAAGUCGAGCGGAUGAAGGGAGCUUGCUCCUGGAUUCAGCGGCGGACGGGUGAGUAAUGCCUAGGAAUCUGCCUGGUAGUGGGGGAUAACGUCCGGAAACGGGCGCUAAUACCGCAUACGUCCUGAGGGAGAAAGUGGGGGAUCUUCGGACCUCACGCUAUCAGAUGAGCCUAGGUCGGAUUAGCUAGAUGGUGGGGUAAAGGCCUACCAAGGCGACGAUCCGUAACUGGUCUGAGAGGAUGAUCAGUCACACUGGAACUGAGACACGGUCCAGACUCCUAAGGGAGGCAGCAGUAGGGAAUAUUGGACGAUAGGCGGAAGCCUGAUCCAGCCAUGCCGCAUGUGUGAAGAAGGUCUUCGGAUUGUAAAGCACUUUAAGUUGGGAAGAAGGGCAGUAAGUUAAUACCUUGCUGUUUUGACGUUACCAACAGAAUAAGCACCGGCUAACUUCGUG